Molecule: ribosomal RNA, 490 nt
Filed under: uncultured bacterium
Lineage: Bacteria
Description: partial 16S ribosomal RNA
Rfam family: Bacterial small subunit ribosomal RNA
Source: RNAcentral
AUUGAACGCUGGCGGCAGGCCUAACACAUGCAAGUCGAACGGUAACAGGAAGAAGCUUGCUUCUUUGCUGACGAGUGGCGGACGGGUGAGUAAUGUCUGGGAAACUGCCUGAUGGAGGGGGAUAACUACUGGAAACGGUAGCUAAUACCGCAUAACGUCGCAAGACCAAAGAGGGGGACCUUCGGGCCUCUUGCCAUCGGAUGUGCCCUGAUGGGAUUAGCUAGUAGGUGGGGUAACGGCUCACCUAGGCGACGAUCCCUAGCUGGUCUGAGAGGAUGACCAGCCACACUGGAACGGAGACACGGUCCAGACUCCUACGGGAGGCAGCAGUGGGGAAUAUUGCACAAUGGGCGCAAGCCUGAUGCAGCCAUGCCGCGUGUAUGAAGAAGGCCUUCGGGUUGUAAAGUACUUUCAGCGGGGAGGAAGGGAGUAAAGUUAAUACCUUUGCUCAUUGACGUGACCCGCAGAAGAAGCACCGGCUAACUCCGUG